This 75-nucleotide transfer RNA is filed under the name Escherichia coli. RNAcentral describes it as "tRNA-Gln". It matches the Rfam family "tRNA". Rfam says of the family: Transfer RNA (tRNA) molecules are approximately 80 nucleotides in length. Lineage: Bacteria; Pseudomonadati; Pseudomonadota; Gammaproteobacteria; Enterobacterales; Enterobacteriaceae. The record is from RNAcentral.
UGGGGUAUCGCCAAGCGGUAAGGCACCGGUUUUUGAUACCGGCAUUCCCUGGUUCGAAUCCGAGUACUCCAGCCA